RNAcentral lists this ribosomal RNA (464 nucleotides) under Vreelandella stevensii. RNAcentral's name for it is "partial 16S ribosomal RNA". It matches the Rfam family "Bacterial small subunit ribosomal RNA", at positions 338 to 795 of the family's 1533-position model. The record is from RNAcentral. Lineage: Bacteria; Pseudomonadati; Pseudomonadota; Gammaproteobacteria; Oceanospirillales; Halomonadaceae.
CCUACGGGGCGCUGCAGUGGGGAAUAUUGGACAAUGGGCGAAAGCCUGAUCCAGCCAUGCCGCGUGUGUGAAGAAGGCCUUCGGGUUGUAAAGCACUUUCAGUGGGGAAGAAAGCCUUGGGGCUAAUACCCUCGAGGAAGGACAUCACCCACAGAAGAAGCACCGGCUAACUCCGUGCCAGCAGCCGCGGUAAUACGGAGGGUGCGAGCGUUAAUCGGAAUUACUGGGCGUAAAGCGCGCGUAGGCGGUCUGAUAAGCCGGUUGUGAAAGCCCCGGGCUCAACCUGGGAACGGCAUCCGGAACUGUCAGGCUAGAGUGCAGGAGAGGAAGGUAGAAUUCCCGGUGUAGCGGUGAAAUGCGUAGAGAUCGGGAGGAAUACCAGUGGCGAAGGCGGCCUUCUGGACUGACACUGACGCUGAGGUGCGAAAGCGUGGGUAGCAAACAGGAUUAGAUACCCAGUAGUC